RNAcentral lists this ribosomal RNA (497 nucleotides) under uncultured bacterium. RNAcentral's name for it is "partial 16S ribosomal RNA". It matches the Rfam family "Bacterial small subunit ribosomal RNA", at positions 28 to 507 of the family's 1533-position model. The record is from RNAcentral.
GAUGAACGCUGGCGGCGUGCCUAAUACAUGCAAGUCGAGCGAACGGACGAGAAGCUUGCUUUUCUGAUGUUAGCGGCGGACGGGUGAGUAACACGUGGAUAACCUACCUAUAAGACUGGGAUAACUUCGGGAAACCGGCGCUAAUACCGGAUAAUCUUUUGAACCGCAUGGUUCAAAAGUGAAAGACGGUCUUGCUGUCACUUAUAGAUGGAUCCGCGCUGCAUUAGCUAGUUGGUAAGGUAACGGCUUACCAAGGCAACGAUGCAUAGCCGACCUGAGAGGGUGAUAGGCGACACUGGAACUGGACCACGGUCCAUGCGCCUACGGGAGGCAGCAGUAGGGAAUCGUACGCAGUGGGCGAAAGCCUGACGGAGCAACGCCGCGUGAGUGAUGAAGGUCUUCGGAGCGUAAAACUCUGUUAUUAGGGAAGAACAUAUGUGUAAGUAACUGUGCACAUCUUGACGGUACCUAAUCAGAAAGCCACGGCUAACUACGUG